This 465-nucleotide ribosomal RNA is filed under the name Vreelandella stevensii. RNAcentral's name for it is "partial 16S ribosomal RNA". It matches the Rfam family "Bacterial small subunit ribosomal RNA", at positions 338 to 795 of the family's 1533-position model. Lineage: Bacteria; Pseudomonadati; Pseudomonadota; Gammaproteobacteria; Oceanospirillales; Halomonadaceae. The record is from RNAcentral.
CCUACGGGGGGCAGCAGUGGGGAAUAUUGGACAAUGGGGGCAACCCUGAUCCAGCCAUGCCGCGUGUGUGAAGAAGGCCCUCGGGUUGUAAAGCACUUUCAGUGAGGAAGAACGCCUGGUGGUUAAUACCCAUCAGGAAAGACAUCACUCACAGAAGAAGCACCGGCUAACUCCGUGCCAGCAGCCGCGGUAAUACGGAGGGUGCGAGCGUUAAUCGGAAUUACUGGGCGUAAAGCGCGCGUAGGUGGCUUGAUAAGCCGGUUGUGAAAGCCCCGGGCUCAACCUGGGAACGGCAUCCGGAACUGUCAAGCUAGAGUGCAGGAGAGGAAGGUAGAAUUCCCGGUGUAGCGGUGAAAUGCGUAGAGAUCGGGAGGAAUACCAGUGGCGAAGGCGGCCUUCUGGACUGACACUGACACUGAGGUGCGAAAGCGUGGGUAGCAAACAGGAUUAGAUACCCCAGGAGUC